UGAAUUUCGGGAUUAGGGGGCCGGUCAUGCCUCUGGUAUGUACUUGACACUGCGGUUCCUACCUUCUGACGAACCGUCAUGUCAUUAAUUUGGUGUGGCGGGGAAUCAGGACUGUUACUUUGAAAAAAUUAGAGUGUUUAAAGCAGGCUCGCGCUUGAAUACAUUAGCAUGGAAUAAUGAAAUAGGACGUUCGAUCCUAUUUUGUUGGUUUCUAGGAUUGACGUAAUGAUUAAUAGGGAUAGUUGGGGGCAUUAGUAUUCAAUUGUCAGAGGUGAAAUUCUUGGAUUUAUUGAAGACUAACUACUGCGAAAGCAUUUGCCAAGGAUGUUUUCAUUAAUCAAGAACGAAAGUUAGGGGAUCGAAGACGAUCAGAUACC
RNAcentral lists this ribosomal RNA (377 nucleotides) under uncultured Glomus. RNAcentral describes it as "SSU rRNA". It matches the Rfam family "Eukaryotic small subunit ribosomal RNA", at positions 635 to 1016 of the family's 1831-position model. The record is from RNAcentral. Lineage: Eukaryota; Fungi; Glomeromycota; Glomeromycetes; Glomerales; Glomeraceae.